Non-coding RNA from Acanthosepion pharaonis, 98 nucleotides. The record is from the annotation of a GenBank genome assembly. Lineage: Eukaryota; Metazoa; Mollusca; Cephalopoda; Sepiida; Sepiidae.
UUGAAACACCAGUUCUCAUAUGAUCCCCAAAGUUAAGCAAUGUCAAGCCUAGUCAGUACCUAGAUGGGUGACCAUUUGGAAAUACCAGAUGCUGUAAG